Molecule: ribosomal RNA, 497 nt
Filed under: uncultured bacterium
Lineage: Bacteria
Description: partial 16S ribosomal RNA
Rfam family: Bacterial small subunit ribosomal RNA
Source: RNAcentral
GAUGAACGCUGGCGGCGUGCCUAAUACAUGCAAGUCGAGCGAACAGACGAGGAGCUUGCUCCUCUGACGUUAGCGGCGGACGGGUGAGUAACACGUGGAUAACCUACCUAUAAGACUGGGAUAACUUCGGGAAACCGGAGCUAAUACCGGAUAAUAUAUUGAACCGCAUGGUUCAAUAGUGAAAGACGGUUUUGCUGUCACUUAUAGAUGGGUCCGCGCCGCAUUAGCUAGUUGGUAAGGUAACGGCUUACCAAGGCAACGAUGCGUAGCCGACCUGAGAGGGUGAUCGGCCACACUGGAACUGAGACACGGCCCAGACUCCUACGGGAGGCAGCAGUAGGGAAUCUUCCGCAAUGGGCGAAAGCCUGACGGAGCAACGCCGCGCGAGUGAUGAAGGUCUUCGGAUCGUAAAACUCUGUUAUUAGGGAAGAACAAAUGUGUAAGUAACUAUGCACGUCUUGACGGUACCUAAUCAGAAAGCCACGGCUAACUACGUG